AAGACCUUGCGCUUUUGGAGCGGCCGAUGCCUGAUUAGCUUGUUGGUAAGGUAAAAGCUUACCAAGGCUUCGAUCAGUAGCUGGUCUGAGAGGACGACCAGCCACACUGGGACUGAGACACGGCCCAGACUCCUACGGGAGGCAGCAGUGGGGAAUUUUGGACAAUGGGGGCAACCCUGAUCCAGCCAUGCCGCGUGAGUGAAGAAGGCCUUCGGGUUGUAAAGCUCUUUCAGCCGGAACGAAGCGGUUACGGUUAAUACCCAUGACUACUGACGGUACCGGAAGAAGAAGCACCGGCUAACUACGUGCCAGCAGCCGCGGUAAUACGUAGGGUGCGAGCGUUAAUCGGAAUUACUGGGCGUAAAGCGUGCGCAGGUGGUUUUGUAAGUCAGAUGUGAAAGCCCCGGGCUCAACCUGGGAACU
This 423-nucleotide ribosomal RNA is filed under the name uncultured bacterium. RNAcentral's name for it is "bacterial SSU rRNA". It matches the Rfam family "Bacterial small subunit ribosomal RNA", at positions 207 to 622 of the family's 1533-position model. The record is from RNAcentral.